RNAcentral lists this ribosomal RNA (300 nucleotides) under uncultured Spirochaeta sp. RNAcentral describes it as "bacterial SSU rRNA". It matches the Rfam family "Bacterial small subunit ribosomal RNA", at positions 496 to 795 of the family's 1533-position model. The record is from RNAcentral. Lineage: Bacteria; Pseudomonadati; Spirochaetota; Spirochaetia; Spirochaetales; Spirochaetaceae.
GUGAACGACGUGCCUGGAGUGGGGGUAAUAGGUGGGUGGUAAGGGUGUUGCUGGAUUGCUGGGUGGAAAGUGCGUGUAGGAUGGUUAUUAAGUCAGGUGUGAAAUUCCAGGGCUCGACCCUGGCGCUGCAUCUGAAACUGAGGAGCUUGGGUACUGGAGAGGGAGGCGGAAGUCCUAGGGUAGCGGUGAAAUGCGUAGAUAUUAGGAGGAACACCAGUGGCGAAGGCGGCUUUCUGGACAGUAACUGACGCUGAGGCGCGAAAGCGUGGGGAGCAAACAGGAUUAGAUACCCGUGUAGUC